Molecule: long non-coding RNA, 926 nt
Organism: Sorghum bicolor (sorghum)
Lineage: Eukaryota; Viridiplantae; Streptophyta; Magnoliopsida; Poales; Poaceae
Exons: 2
Source: RefSeq, a predicted model, not a curated record
UUCGGUUUGGCCUCCUCGGCUCGUCACGGUCUCGCGGCGCGGACUGAGCGUGACCGUGCGAGGUGAACCCUAGGCGACCGGUGGCGUCGCGGCGAGGCGGAGGCGAGGGCGCGGUGGCCUACGCUGCCCUGCUGCUGCCUGCGCGGAGCCGGAGCGGGCUGCAGCCUGCGGACUGCGGUCGCGCGUGUGGCGGCGUGGUGUCGCGGUGAGGCGGAGGCGAGGGCGCGGUGGCCUGCUGUCCUGCUGCUCCCUGCGCGGAGCGCCGGAGCCGGAGCGGGCUGCGGCCUGCGGACUGCGGUCGCGCGUGCGGCGGCGUGGCGUCGUGGCGAGGCAGAGGCGAGGGCGCGGUGGCCUGCUGCCCUGCUGCUGCCUGCGCGGAGCCGGAGUGGGCUGUGGCCUGCGGACUGCGGUCGCGCGUGCGGCGGCGCGGUGUCGCGGCGAGGCGGAGGCGAGGGUGCGGUGGCCUGCUGCCCUGCUGCUGCCUGCGCGGAGCGCCGGAGCCGGAGCGGGCUGCGGCCUGCGGACUGCGGACUGCGGUCGCGCGUGCGGCGGCGCGGCGAGGCGGAGGCGAGGGCGCGGUGGCCUGUUGCCCUGCUGCUGCCUGCGUGGAGCCAGUGCCCAGUGCUCGCUGGUUGCUCUGUUCAGUUUAGUAUUGCUUGGUUUACAAAAUGAAGAACAAAUCAAAAUCGGUUGAUUUGAGGACUUUGUGGGAUAUAUAGAGCAGCAAAAACAACGAAGGUGGAGUUAGGAUCUACAUCAGUGCCACGAUACAGGGUCCUUGUCAUUAAUCAUAAUUACUUGGUUUGUAAUCUUGUUUGGACAUUUAUCGUUUUGUGUUUAUUUGGACUAUAAAAUAAUGUGAAGCAUCAUGCUCCUAUUCUUUAUACAUACGUAGUAUAAAUGUUUAGAUCUGAGUUCUAGGUUUA